AUCAUUAAUGAAACAAGCACGCUCGGGCGAGGUUGUUGCUGGCGUGCUAGCCACGCAUGUGCACGCCCCGCUCGUGUCGUCUCGCCGGGGGGGGGAUUUAAUUCCCCCCCGGCAACACACCUCACACACAACCUGUCUUAACCGAAUGUCAUUUGCGUAAACGCAACCUAAAAACAACUUUUAACAACGGAUCUCUUGGUUCUCGCAUCGAUGAAGAACGCAGCGAAAUGCGAUAAGUAAUGUGAAUUGCAGAAUUCAGUGAAUCAUCGAAUCUUUGAACGCACCUUGCGCUCCUUGGUAUUCCGAGGAGCAUGCCCGUUUGAGUGUCGUGAUAUCAUCAAGCCCAAACCCCUCGGGGUCUACGCUUGGACUUGGAUGUGCUGCCGGACGGCGACGCCUGGCUCAUCCCAAAUGCAUUAGCUGGACUUGUUUUCCCCCCUCUGGGCUUUGGACUUUUGUUCUCACUCGGCGUGAUAAGGUCACCCGUCGAGGACGUCCCUUGCCUGUCGUGGGAUCCGGCUUCGAACCGUCCCCCCGGACAAAUCACUUUGACAAUCUGACCUCAAAUCGGGUAGGACUACCCGCUGAACUUAAGCAUAUCAAUAAGC
This 608-nucleotide ribosomal RNA is filed under the name cf. Botryobasidium sp. 2 LR-2015. Its description in RNAcentral is "eukaryotic LSU rRNA". The stretch from base 176 to 329 matches the Rfam family "5.8S ribosomal RNA". Lineage: Eukaryota; Fungi; Basidiomycota; Agaricomycetes; Cantharellales; Botryobasidiaceae. The record is from RNAcentral.